GCUGGCAGCAUCUAACUGGUCUUGAGUGAUCUUGUAAAGCUAAGGAAGGGUAGACCUGAUUGGCACUUGGAUGGGAGACCUCCAGGAAAUCCCUGGGUUGCAAGCU
RNAcentral lists this ribosomal RNA (106 nucleotides) under Salvator merianae (Argentine black and white tegu). Lineage: Eukaryota; Metazoa; Chordata; Lepidosauria; Squamata; Teiidae. The record is from RNAcentral.